This 352-nucleotide ribosomal RNA is filed under the name uncultured bacterium. Its description in RNAcentral is "bacterial SSU rRNA". It matches the Rfam family "Bacterial small subunit ribosomal RNA", at positions 527 to 881 of the family's 1533-position model. The record is from RNAcentral.
GGAGGAUGCGAGCGUUAUCCGGAUUUAUUGGGUUUAAAGGGAGCGUAGGCGGACGCUUAAGUCAGUUGUGAAAGUUUGCGGCUCAACCGUAAAAUUGCAGUUGAUACUGGGUGUCUUGAGUGCAACAGAGGUAGGCGGAAUUCGUGGUGUAGCGGUGAAAUGCGUAGAGAUGGGGAGGAACACCAGUGGCGAAGGCGGCCUGCUGGGCUUUAACUGACGCUGAGGCACGAAAGCGUGGGUAGCAAACAGGAUUAGAUACCCUGGUAGUCCACACGGUAAACGAUGAAUACUCGCUGUUUGCGAUAUACGGCAAGCGGCCAAGCGAAAGCGUUAAGUAUUCCACCUGGGGAGU